This 88-nucleotide transfer RNA is filed under the name Pseudomonadota bacterium. RNAcentral's name for it is "tRNA-Ser". It matches the Rfam family "tRNA". From Rfam's summary of the family: Transfer RNA (tRNA) molecules are approximately 80 nucleotides in length. Their secondary structure includes four short double-helical elements and three loops (D, anti-codon, and T loops). Lineage: Bacteria; Pseudomonadati; Pseudomonadota. RNAcentral also lists the same sequence under 1 other name. The record is from RNAcentral.
GGAGAGGUGGCAGAGUGGUCGAAUGCGGCGGUCUUGAAAACCGUUAGCCCUUCGGGGCUCGGGGGUUCGAAUCCCUCCCUCUCCGCCA